CGUAAGGGGACCUGCGGAAGGAUCAUUACAAGUUGAAACGGUUGCCCUCGCGGUGACCGGUUCUUCAAACCUCUGCGUACCGAACCUUUCAGUUGCCUCCGGCGGCCCUGGGCCGACGCGGCGCGCGACCUCACGCACUAUACGCGGGGGGGCCGCUCCUCGCGGCGGACCACCCGCCGGGCGGUCAUAAACAAAACCUUUUUGUCGAGAUGGCAUCGUCUAAUUUCUUCAUAACAAAAUAUGAAAUACAACUUUUAACAAUGGAUCUCUUGGCUCCGGCAUCGAUGAAGAACGCAGCGAAAUGCGAUAACUAGUGUGAAUUGCAGAUUUCAGUGAAUCAUCGAGUCUUUGAACGCACAUUGCGCCUCUUGGUAUUCCUCGAGGCAUGCCUGUUCGAGCGUCGUUACGCCCCUCAAGCGCAAGCUUGGUGUUGGGGAUCGCCCCUGAGAUACGGCGGCGGCCCUUAAAUGCUAUCGGCGGAUGCUGUGUGACUCAGCCCGGAGCGCAGCAGACAUGCGGCUUCCAGGCGACCACGCGCCCGCCGGACAACGACCCGACUUUCAAACGUCGACCUCGGAUCAGGUAGGGAUACCCGCUGAACUUAAGCAUAUCAUAAG
This 617-nucleotide ribosomal RNA is filed under the name Mycoleptodiscus indicus. Its description in RNAcentral is "eukaryotic LSU rRNA". The stretch from base 250 to 403 matches the Rfam family "5.8S ribosomal RNA". The record is from RNAcentral. RNAcentral also lists the same sequence under 1 other name. Lineage: Eukaryota; Fungi; Ascomycota; Dothideomycetes; Muyocopronales; Muyocopronaceae.